GUAAAAUUGUACCUUACUAAAUACAGAAUUUGAAGCGUUUAAAAAAAAAAGCCUCAAUGCCUCAAAUUCAUAAAGCAAAGUCAGGUAUUAUUUCAGCAUACCGUAGACACAGUAUAAUUGCUGAUAAUACCGAACUAUAUUGUGCAAUAUAUUACAUAGGGUAAUGAGUCCUCAGCAGUGGGAAAAUACAAAACCUAAAAGCCCUACCAAAGUUUUUGUUUGAAUUUA
This is a long non-coding RNA of Etheostoma cragini (Arkansas darter), 228 nucleotides long. RefSeq lists it as uncharacterized. Lineage: Eukaryota; Metazoa; Chordata; Actinopteri; Perciformes; Percidae. The transcript is spliced from 3 exons. The record is from RefSeq and is a predicted model, not a curated record.